This 266-nucleotide ribosomal RNA is filed under the name uncultured bacterium. Its description in RNAcentral is "partial 16S ribosomal RNA". It matches the Rfam family "Bacterial small subunit ribosomal RNA", at positions 88 to 354 of the family's 1533-position model. The record is from RNAcentral.
UAACUUAGUGGCGGACGGGUGAGUAACGCGUGGGUAACCUGCCGUAUACAGGGGGAUAACACUUAGAAAUAGGUGCUAAUACCGCAUAAGCGCACGGUUCCGCAUGGGACAGUGUGAAAAACCGAGGUGGUAUACGAUGGACCCGCGUCUGAUUAGCCAGUUGGCAGGGUAACGGCCUACCAAAGCGACGAUCAGUAGCCGGCCUGAGAGGGCGGACGGCCACAUUAGGACUGAGACACGGCCCAAACUCCUACGGGAGGCAGCAG